GUGCUCGCUUCAGCAGCACAUAUACUAAAACUGGAAUGAUAUAAAGGAGAUUAGAAUGGCCCCUUCACAAGGAUGACAUGCAAAUUCAUGAUGGGUUUCAUACUAUG
Moschus moschiferus (Siberian musk deer) is the source of this 107-nucleotide small nuclear RNA. The record is from Ensembl. NCBI's taxonomy places the organism in Eukaryota, Metazoa, Chordata, Mammalia, Artiodactyla, Moschidae.